GGAGGAUUAGCUCAGCUGGGAGAGCACCUGCCUUACAAGCAGGGGGUCGGCGGUUCGAUCCCGUCAUCCUCCC
This 73-nucleotide transfer RNA is filed under the name Streptococcus pneumoniae. RNAcentral describes it as "tRNA-Val(tac)". It matches the Rfam family "tRNA". From Rfam's summary of the family: Transfer RNA (tRNA) molecules are approximately 80 nucleotides in length. Their secondary structure includes four short double-helical elements and three loops (D, anti-codon, and T loops). Lineage: Bacteria; Bacillati; Bacillota; Bacilli; Lactobacillales; Streptococcaceae. The record is from RNAcentral.